Molecule: ribosomal RNA, 254 nt
Filed under: uncultured bacterium
Lineage: Bacteria
Description: partial 16S ribosomal RNA
Rfam family: Bacterial small subunit ribosomal RNA
Source: RNAcentral
UACAGAGGUCUCAAGCGUUGUUCGGAUUCAUUGGGCGUAAAGGGUGUGUAGGUGGCGCCGUAAGUCGGGUGUGAAAUUUCGGAGCUUAACUCCGAAACUGCAUUCGAUACUGCGGUGCUUGAGGACUGGAGAGGAGACUGGAAUUCAUGGUGUAGCAGUGAAAUGCGUAGAGAUCGUAAGGAAGACCAGUGGCGAAAGGCGAGUUUCUGGACAGUUACUGACGCUGAGGCACGAAGGCCAGGGGAGCAAACGGG